This 450-nucleotide ribosomal RNA is filed under the name uncultured bacterium. RNAcentral's name for it is "partial 16S ribosomal RNA". It matches the Rfam family "Bacterial small subunit ribosomal RNA", at positions 354 to 796 of the family's 1533-position model. The record is from RNAcentral.
GUGGGGAAUAUUGGACAAUGGGCGAAAGCCUGAUCCAGCCAUGCCGCGUGUGUGAAGAAGGUCUUCGGAUUGUAAAGCACUUUAAGUUGGGAGGAAGGGCAGUAAGUUAAUACCUUGCUGUUUUGACGUUACCGACAGAAUAAGCACCGGCUAACUUCGUGCCAGCAGCCGCGGUAAUACGAAGGGUGCAAGCGUUAAUCGGAAUUACUGGGCGUAAAGCGUGCGCAGGUGGUUUUGUAAGUUGGAGGUGAAAUCCCCGGGCUCAACCUGGGAACUGCCUCCAAAACUGCAUGACUAUAGUACGGUAGAGGGUAGUGGAAUUUCCUGUGUAGCGGUGAAAUGCGUAGAUAUAGGAAGGAACACCAGUGGCGAAGGCGACUACCUGGACUGAUACUGACACUGAGGUGCGAAAGCGUGGGGAGCAAACAGGAUUAGAAACCCUAGUAGUCC